Molecule: unclassified non-coding RNA, 345 nt
Filed under: soil metagenome
Description: partial contains 5.8S ribosomal RNA, internal transcribed spacer 2, and large subunit ribosomal RNA
Rfam family: 5.8S ribosomal RNA (bases 1-120)
Source: RNAcentral
GAUGAAGAACGUAGCGAAAUGCGAUACGUAAUGUGAAUUGCAGAAUUCAGUGAAUCAUCGAGUCUUUGAUCGCACAUUGCGCCCUCUGGUAUUCCGGAGGGCAUGCCUGUCCGAGCGUCAUUGCUGCCCUCAAGCACGGCUUGUGUGUUGGGCUCCGUCCCCCGAUCCCGGGGGACGGGCCCGAAAGGCAGCGGCGGCACCGCGUCCGGUCCUCGAGCGUAUGGGGCUUUGUCACCCGCUCUGUAGGCCCGGCCGGCGCUUGCCGAUCAACCAAAUUUUUAUCCAGGUUGACCUCGGAUCAGGUAGGGAUACCCGCUGAACUUAAGCAUAUCAAUAAGCGGAGGA